RNAcentral lists this transfer RNA (76 nucleotides) under Occultella aeris. RNAcentral's name for it is "tRNA-Arg(ccg)". It matches the Rfam family "tRNA". From Rfam's summary of the family: Transfer RNA (tRNA) molecules are approximately 80 nucleotides in length. Their secondary structure includes four short double-helical elements and three loops (D, anti-codon, and T loops). Further hydrogen bonds mediate the characteristic L-shaped molecular structure. tRNAs have two regions of fundamental functional importance: the anti-codon, which is responsible for specific mRNA codon recognition, and the 3' end, to which the tRNAs corresponding amino acid is attached (by aminoacyl-tRNA synthetases). tRNAs cope with the degeneracy of the genetic code in two manners: having more than one tRNA (with a specific anti-codon) for a particular amino acid; and 'wobble' base-pairing, i.e. permitting non-standard base-pairing at the 3rd anti-codon position. Lineage: Bacteria; Bacillati; Actinomycetota; Actinomycetes; Micrococcales; Ruaniaceae. The record is from RNAcentral.
GCCUUCGUAGCGCAGUGGACAGCGCGUCCGCCUCCGAAGCGGAAGGUCGCCGGUUCGAGUCCGGCCGAAGGCACCA